GACGAACGCUGGCGGCGUGCCUAAUACAUGCAAGUAGAACGCUGAAGCUUGGUGCUUGCACCGAGCGGAUGAGUUGCGAACGGGUGAGUAACGCGUAGGUAACCUGCCUGGUAGCGGGGGAUAACUAUUGGAAACGAUAGCUAAUACCGCAUAAGAGUAUAUGUUGCAUGACAUUUGCUUAAAAGGUGCAAUUGCAUCACUACCAGAUGGACCUGCGUUGUAUUAGCUAGUUGGUGAGGUAACGGCUCACCAAGGCAACGAUACAUAGCCGACCUGAGAGGGUGAUCGGCCAAACUGGGACUGAGACACGGCCCAGACUCCUAAGGGAGGCAGCAGUAGGGAAUCUUCGGCAAUGGACGGAAGUCUGACCGAGCAACGCCGCGGGAGUGAAGAAGGGUUUCGGAUCGUAAAGCUCUGUUGUAAGAGAAGAACGAGUGUGAGAGUGGAAAGUUCACACUGUGACGGUAGCUUACCAGAAAGGGACGGCUAACUACGUG
RNAcentral lists this ribosomal RNA (497 nucleotides) under uncultured bacterium. RNAcentral describes it as "partial 16S ribosomal RNA". It matches the Rfam family "Bacterial small subunit ribosomal RNA", at positions 28 to 507 of the family's 1533-position model. The record is from RNAcentral.